ACGGGAGGCAGCAGUGGGGAAUAUUGGGCAAUGGGCGAAAGCCUGACCCAGCAAUGCCGCGUGAAGGAAGAAGGUCUUCGGAUUGUAAACUUCUUUUAUGAGGGACGAAGGAAUUGACGGUACCUCAUGAAUAAGCCACGGCUAACUACGUGCCAGCAGCCGCGGUAAUACGUAGGUGGCAAGCGUUAUCCGGAUUUACUGGGUGUGAAGGGCGCGUAGGCGGGGAAGCAAGUCAGAUGUGAAAUCUAUGGGCUUAACUCAUAAACUGCAUUUGAAACUGUUUCUCUUGAGUGCUGGAGAGGCAGAUGGAAUCCCUAGUGUAGCGGUGAAAUGCGUAGAUAUUAGGAAGAACACCAGUGGCGAAGGCGAUCUACUGGACAGUAACUGACGCUGAGGCGCGAAAGCGUGGGGAGCAAACAGGAUUAGAUACCCUGGUA
Molecule: ribosomal RNA, 437 nt
Filed under: uncultured Oscillospiraceae bacterium
Lineage: Bacteria; Bacillati; Bacillota; Clostridia; Eubacteriales; Oscillospiraceae
Description: bacterial SSU rRNA
Rfam family: Bacterial small subunit ribosomal RNA
Source: RNAcentral